UGGGGUGACUGCGUACCUUUUGUAUAAUGGGUCAGCGACUUAUAUUCUGUAGCAAGGUUAACCGAAUAGGGGAGCCGGAGGGAAACCGAGUCUUAAUUGGGCGUUAAGUUGCAGGGUAUAGACCCGAAACCCGGUGAUCUAGCCAUGGGCAGGUUGAAGGUUGGGUAACACUAACUGGAGGACCGAACCGACUAAUGUUGAAAAAUUAGCGGAUGACCUGUGGCUGGGGGUGAAAGGCCAAUCAAACCGGGAGAUAGCUGGUUCUCCCCGAAAGCUAUUUAGGUAGCGCCUCGUGAAUUCAUCUCCGGGGGUAGAGCACUGUUUCGGCUAGGGGGCCAUCCCGGCUUACCAACCCGAUGCAAACUGCGAAUACCGGAGAAUGUUAUCACGGGAGACACACGGCGGGUGCUAACGUCCGUCGUGAAGAGGGAAACAACCCAGACCGCCAGCUAAGGUCCCAAAGUCAUGGUUAAGUGGGAAACGAUGUGGGAAGGCCCAGACAGCCAGGAUGUUGGCUUAGAAGCAGCCAUCAUUUAAAGAAAGCGUAAUAGCUCACUGGUCGAGUCGGCCUGCGCGGAAGAUGUAACGGGGCUAAACCAUGCACCGAAGCUGCGGCAGCGAACGUAUCACCCAAGACAACUUUACGGAGUUGACGAUUGACGGAGCGAAGCGACGUCAAAGCGUUCAUUAAAGUCGAGUUGGCUUAGGGAUACGUUCGUUGGGUAGGGGAGCGUUCUGUAAGCCUGUGAAGGUGUGUCGUGAGGCAUGCUGGAGGUAUCAGAAGUGCGAAUGCUGACAUAAGUAACGAUAAAGCGGGUGAAAAGCCCGCUCGCCGGAAGACCAAGGGUUCCUGUCCAACGUUAAUCGGGGCAGGGUGAGUCGACCCCUAAGGCGAGGCCGAAAGGCGUAGUCGAUGGGAAACGGGUUAAUAUUCCCGUACUUGGUGUUACUGCGAAGGGGGGACGGAGAAGGCUAUGUUGGCCGGGCGACGGUUGUCCCGGUUUAAGCGUGUAGGUGUGUGUUCCAGGUAAAUCCGGUU
This 1039-nucleotide ribosomal RNA is filed under the name Salmonella enterica. RNAcentral describes it as "partial 23S ribosomal RNA". It matches the Rfam family "Bacterial large subunit ribosomal RNA", at positions 589 to 1547 of the family's 2925-position model. Lineage: Bacteria; Pseudomonadati; Pseudomonadota; Gammaproteobacteria; Enterobacterales; Enterobacteriaceae. The record is from RNAcentral. RNAcentral also lists the same sequence under 1 other name.